GGAAUUUUGGACAACAUGAAAAAAAAAGAAAGUUCGUUAUAACAAAAAAGGAACAUCGAGUAAAGGUUGGUGGAGAGUUUUUGACUACAAAAGAAGGCACACAAUGGAGAAAGCUUACAUAUGCAAACUGCCGCAAGCAACCGAGCAGCAUCUCCCGGAGGAUCACAAUCCGGAAAUAUGGGCUUAAGAACAUAAAUACUAAACGUGAGAGCAACAAUAGCUUGGCUACAUGGCCGAACUAUCAUACACUCAAUCCAAAGUCUAAUAAAUGCUGCGAAUGGUCCAAACGUCUCCAUAAUAUAGGCAUAAUCUGCACCUGAUCUCUUUAUCAUACAUCCUAAUUCGGCAUAACAAUAAGCACCCACCUGGAACACCAUCAGAAAAUACCAAGCAUUUGAAAGAAGAAGUUGAAUGAAUGGAAAAUGAAAAUUUACUGAAUUAAAAGAUAAUUAAAAGAAAAAUUUUGGCAAAUUAUAUAGGAGCAACCGUUUAAAACGGUCUUGUCACUUAACGUAUCUCUACUCGCGUAAGACUCAAUUCAACGUACGUAAAGCUAUGAUCAACCCAGUGCGACCACUCCAUGUACGCUGAGCGUUCAAUACAUCACAGGAGAAAA
Chelonus insularis is the source of this 616-nucleotide long non-coding RNA. RefSeq lists it as uncharacterized. The record is from RefSeq and is a predicted model, not a curated record. Lineage: Eukaryota; Metazoa; Arthropoda; Insecta; Hymenoptera; Braconidae. The transcript has 3 exons.